Molecule: unclassified non-coding RNA, 520 nt
Filed under: Hevea brasiliensis (rubber tree)
Lineage: Eukaryota; Viridiplantae; Streptophyta; Magnoliopsida; Malpighiales; Euphorbiaceae
Source: RNAcentral
AACUUUAGACCCGUGCCCAUCCUGCGAUCUGGAGAAGGAAAAUGUAGGAUAAUGAAGUAGAUUCUUGUAAAUCAGAAACUGAAAAAUCGAUUUUCAGCGAUAGGGUAGGUUUCUCUGAUGAUGGGGUCAUGUAUUCGAUGCCCCGGCGAGAAACUAGCCGAUUGUAGCUGCACACCGUGAAAGAGAGAGGAGAUCGAAGGGCUUACAAAUGAGUUCGGCAGAGGUAUUUGUGUGGAGGUUGAAAAUGCCUGUCCCUUGGUUGUGUUUGUGCGGCAAGACUGAUGAGAAUAUGAAGAUGAGUUUGGUCAAUUGGGAAGCUGUUUGUCAACCUAAAGCUCGGCCAAGGAUUGUGUUCUACAUCAUUUUUUUUCUUCGAGAAUAAAGCAAAGGAGGGUUUGCCUUGGAUCAAAAGGCAAUACCAGAUGCCAGAUGCUUAUCCUCCAUGAUGCUAUUAGUGUGUGUACUUGCUCCUUGGUUGCAAGUUAGGAAUUUCUAUCUUUAAAUAUUUUCUUUGAAGGGC